This 195-nucleotide microRNA precursor is filed under the name Oryza sativa Indica Group (long-grained rice). Its description in RNAcentral is "MIR812 microRNA precursor family". It matches the Rfam family "MIR812 microRNA precursor family". The record is from Rfam by way of RNAcentral. Lineage: Eukaryota; Viridiplantae; Streptophyta; Magnoliopsida; Poales; Poaceae.
AAUACAAGGGAUUUUGAGUUUUCGCUUGCAACGUUUGACCACUCGUUUUAUUCAAAAUUGUUUAAAAUUAUUAUUUAUUUUAUUUGUGACUUACUUUAUUAUCUAUAGUACUUUAAGCACAACUUUUCAUUUUUUAUAUUUGUAAAAAAAUUUUGAAUAAGACGAGUGAUCAAACAUUGCAAGCAAAAACUUAAA